This 894-nucleotide ribosomal RNA is filed under the name Brevibacterium linens. Its description in RNAcentral is "bacterial SSU rRNA". It matches the Rfam family "Bacterial small subunit ribosomal RNA", at positions 1 to 890 of the family's 1533-position model. Lineage: Bacteria; Bacillati; Actinomycetota; Actinomycetes; Micrococcales; Brevibacteriaceae. The record is from RNAcentral.
AUUUACAACGUAACCGUUGUGUUUGAUCCUGGCUCAGGACGAACGCUGGCUGCGUGCUUAACACAUGCAAGUCGAACGCUGAAGCCGACAGCUUGCUGUUGGUGGAUGAGUGGCGAACGGGUGAGUAACACGUGAGUAACCUGCCCCUGAUUUCGGGAUAAGCCUGGGAAACUGGGUCUAAUACCGGAUAUGACCAAUCCUUGCAUGAGGGUUGGUGGAAAGUUUUUCGAUCGGGGAUGGGCUCGCGGCCUAUCAGCUUGUUGGUGGGGUAAUGGCCUACCAAGGCGACGACGGGUAGCCGGCCUGAGAGGGCGACCGGCCACACUGGGACUGAGACACGGCCCAGACUCCUACGGGAGGCAGCAGUGGGGAAUAUUGCACAAUGGGGGAAACCCUGAUGCAGCGACGCAGCGUGCGGGAUGACGGCCUUCGGGUUGUAAACCGCUUUCAGCAGGGAAGAAGCGAAAGUGACGGUACCUGCAGAAGAAGUACCGGCUAACUACGUGCCAGCAGCCGCGGUAAUACGUAGGGUACGAGCGUUGUCCGGAAUUAUUGGGCGUAAAGAGCUCGUAGGUGGUUGGUCACGUCUGCUGUGGAAACGCAACGCUUAACGUUGCGCGUGCAGUGGGUACGGGCUGACUAGAGUGCAGUAGGGGAGUCUGGAAUUCCUGGUGUAGCGGUGAAAUGCGCAGAUAUCAGGAGGAACACCGGUGGCGAAGGCGGGACUCUGGGCUGUAACUGACACUGAGGAGCGAAAGCAUGGGGAGCGAACAGGAUUAGAUAGCCCUGGUAGUCCAUGCCGUAAAUCGUUGGGCAUCUAGGUGUGGGGGACAUCCCACGUUUUCCCGCGCCGUAGCUAACGCAUUAAGUGCCCCCGCCUGGGAUACCCCCGAA